Molecule: non-coding RNA, 72 nt
Organism: Ictidomys tridecemlineatus (thirteen-lined ground squirrel)
Lineage: Eukaryota; Metazoa; Chordata; Mammalia; Rodentia; Sciuridae
Source: Rfam
UGCAGUGUAGCUCAGUGGCAGAGCUCCUGUCUGUCAUGCACAAGGUCCUGGGUUCCAGCCUCAGCCCUACAA